RNAcentral lists this unclassified non-coding RNA (480 nucleotides) under Hevea brasiliensis (rubber tree). The record is from RNAcentral. Lineage: Eukaryota; Viridiplantae; Streptophyta; Magnoliopsida; Malpighiales; Euphorbiaceae.
UUAUACUAUACUGAUCCUUCUGGCACUUUCUGGCAAUGCAAUGCAAAAGCCAUUGGUUCAGGUUCAGAAGGUGCUGACAGCUCUCUUCAGGAGCAAUUCAACAAGGACCUUACCCUCAAGGAGGCUGAAACCAUAGCGCUGUCAAUUCUGAAGCAAGUGAUGGAAGAAAAGGUGACUCCCAAUAAUGUUGAUAUUGCGAGGGUAUCACCAACUUAUCACCUCUACUCCCCUUCUGAGGUGGAAGAUGUUAUCAGCCGCCUAUAAGAAGAAAAUGCUCUUGUUAUGCUUGUACCCAAUUCUCUGUUAUGGGCAAUGUUUGCUUUCAAUUGUUCUAGAAUUUGUGAAUUGUUUUGCCCCUUCAAGCAUGAUAUAUUGUUAGCUUUGAGUUCCAUUUUCCUUCAAGGACAAAGCUCAAACCCUUUAUGUUGCUUGACAAAAUUCUGUAUAAUGGGAUAAGAUUAUUUGGCUACGGGCUUAAGA